UGCCAGACUCCUACGGGAGGCAGCAGUGAGGAAUAUUGGUCAAUGGGCGGAAGCCUGAACCAGCCAAGUCGCGUGAGGGAAUAAGGCCCUACGGGUCGUAAACCUCUUUUGCCGGGGAGCAAGGGCGGGGACGUGUCCCGGCCCGGAGAGUACCCGGAGAAAAAGCAUCGGCUAACUCCGUGCCAGCAGCCGCGGUAAUACGGAGGAUGCGAGCGUUAUCCGGAUUUACUGGGUUUAAAGGGUGCGUAGGCGGGCUUUUAAGUCAGCGGUAAAAUUGGGGGGCCCAACCCCGGCGAGCCGUUGAAACUGGCAGACUUGAGUUGGCGAGAAGUACGCGGAAUGCGCGGUGUAGCGGUGAAAUGCAUAGAUAUCACGCAGAACUCCGAUUGCGAAGGCAGCAUACCGGCGCCCGACUGACGCUGAGGCACGAAAGCGUGGGUAUCGAACAGGAUUAGAUACCCCUGUA
RNAcentral lists this ribosomal RNA (466 nucleotides) under uncultured bacterium. RNAcentral describes it as "bacterial SSU rRNA". It matches the Rfam family "Bacterial small subunit ribosomal RNA", at positions 329 to 792 of the family's 1533-position model. The record is from RNAcentral.